RNAcentral lists this ribosomal RNA (469 nucleotides) under uncultured bacterium. RNAcentral describes it as "partial 16S ribosomal RNA". It matches the Rfam family "Bacterial small subunit ribosomal RNA", at positions 28 to 507 of the family's 1533-position model. The record is from RNAcentral.
GACGAACGCUGGCGGCGUGCUUAACACAUGCAAGUCGAACGGAAAGGCCCUGCUUGCAGGGUGCUCGAGUGGCGAACGGGUGAGUAACACGUGGGUGAUCUGCCCCUUAUUUUGGGAUAAGCCUGGGAAACUGGGUCUAAUACUGGAUAGGACCAUGCUGUAGGUGGUGUGGUGGAAAGAUUAGUUUCGGUAAGGGAUGAGCUAGCGGCCUAUCAGCUUGUUGGUGGGGUAAUGGCCUACCAAGGCGUCGACGGGUAGCCGGCCUGAGAGGGUGGACGGCCACAUUGGGACUGAGAUACGGCCCAGACUCCUACGGGAGGCAGCAGUGGGGAAUAUUGCACAAUGGGCGCAAGCCUGAUGCAGCGACGCCGCGUGGGGGAUGACGGCCUUCGGGUUGUAAACUCCUUUCAGCCAUGACGAAGCCCUUGUGGUGACGGUAGUGGUAGAAGAAGCACCGGCUAACUACGUG